Oryza meridionalis is the source of this 196-nucleotide non-coding RNA. The record is from Rfam. NCBI's taxonomy places the organism in Eukaryota, Viridiplantae, Streptophyta, Magnoliopsida, Poales, Poaceae.
ACUCCCUCCGUUUAUAAAUUUUCGUGUUAAAUUUUGAUCGUCCGUUUUAUUUAAGUUUUUUUAUGAUUAGUAUUUUUAUUGUUAUACAACAUGAAUAGUAUUUUACACGUGGCUUAUGUUUUUUUAGUUUUUUUAAAAAAAUUUAAAUAAGACAGACUAUCAAAGUUGAACACGGAAACUUAUGGUUGCGCUUAUU